AGUGUACGCUGGCGGCGUGCUUAACACAUGCAAGUCGAACGAGAACGGAAUAUAGCUUGCUAUAUUUGUCAGCUAAGUGGCGCACGGGUGAGUAAUGUAUAGAUAACCUGCCCUUAAGAAAGGAAUAACAGUUGGAAACGACUGCUAAUGCCCUAUAUGCCUUUAAUACAUAAGUAUGCAAGGGAAACGCUUUAGUGCUUAAGGAUGGGUCUGUAUGGUAUCAGCUUGUUGGUGAGGUAAUGGCUCACCAAGGCUAUGACGCCUAACUGGUUUGAGAGGAUGAUCAGUAACACUGGAACUGAGACACGGUACAGACUACUACGGGAGGCAGCAGUGGGGAAUAUUGCACAAUGGACGAAAGUCUGAUGCAGCAACGCCGCGUGGAGGAUGACACAUUUCGAUGCGUAAACUCCUUUUAUAUAGGAAGAUAAUGGCGGUACUAUAUGAAUAAGCACCGGCUAACUCCGUGCCAGCAGCCGCCGUAA
Molecule: ribosomal RNA, 485 nt
Filed under: uncultured bacterium
Lineage: Bacteria
Description: partial 16S ribosomal RNA
Rfam family: Bacterial small subunit ribosomal RNA
Source: RNAcentral